GGACGAACGCUGGCGGCGUGCCUAAUACAUGCAAGUGGAACGCAUGAUUGAUACCGUAGCUUGCUACACCAUUAAUCAUGAGUCGCGAACGGGUGAGUAACGCGUAGGUAACCUGCCUACUAGCGGGGGAUAACUAUUGGAAACGAUAGCUAAUACCGCAUAAGAGUUUUUUAACACAUGUUAGAAAUUUAAAAGGAGCAAAUGCUUCACUAGUAGAUGGACCUGCGUUGUAUUAGCUAGUUGGUAAGGUAACGGCUUACCAAGGCGACGAUACAUAGCCGACCUGAGAGGGUGAUCGGCCACACUGGGACUGAGACACGGCCCAGACUCCUACGGGAGGCAGCAGUAGGGAAUCUUCGGCAAUGGGGGGAACCCUGACCGAGCAACGCCGCGUGAAGUGAAGAAGGUUUUCGGAUCGUAAAGCUCUGUUGUAAGAGAAGAACGUUGAGUAGAGUGGAAAGUUACUCAAGUGACGGUAUCUUACCAGAAAGGGACGGCUAACUACGUGCCAGCCGCCGC
This 519-nucleotide ribosomal RNA is filed under the name uncultured bacterium. Its description in RNAcentral is "bacterial SSU rRNA". It matches the Rfam family "Bacterial small subunit ribosomal RNA", at positions 27 to 518 of the family's 1533-position model. The record is from RNAcentral.